AUUGUGAAAUGGAAUUCAUAGACUCUAAGCAUCAAUUGGCGGAUAUUUUCACCAAAGCAUUGCCUAAGGAUAGAUUUUUUGAACUUAGAAGAGAUCUAGGCAUAUUAGAAAUAGUAAAAUAGGCAUUUUUAGGCUUAAUAUUGCAAUUUUCGUUGUUUAUCGUGUUUAAUCUAUGUGUAAAUCGAUUAAAAACGUUACCUAUGCAUUUACGAAUGAUUUAAUCGAUUAAUCCAAGUAUUAAUCGAUUAAUUAAUCGAUUAAAACCCAUUUUAAUCGAUUAAAAGCGCUCCUGACAGUUUUUUUUAAGAUUUUUGCGCUGCAUUGAUGAUUAUAGUCGUUGCCAACGGCUCUAAACGGCUAUAAACGGCCAUAUUUUCCAAAAUAUGAACGUUGGGGAGCUUUCUUGAACCUAUUUAUACCCCACUUAUCCCCACUUUCCAUACUUGAACCAAUUUAAAGGAUAUCCCUCUUGCUUUCUCCUUUC
This 484-nucleotide long non-coding RNA is filed under the name Vigna radiata. RNAcentral describes it as "long non-coding RNA (VRAD_LNC010615)". Lineage: Eukaryota; Viridiplantae; Streptophyta; Magnoliopsida; Fabales; Fabaceae. The record is from RNAcentral.